UACGUAGGGGUGCGAGCGUUUAAUCGGAAUUACUGGGCGUAAAGCGUGCGCAGGCGGUUUUGUAAGCCAGAUGUGAAAUCCCCGGGCUUAACCUGGGAACUGCAUUUGUGACUGCAAGGCUAGAGUGUGUCAGAGGGGGGUAGAAUUCCACGUGUGAGCAGUGAAAUGCGUAGAUAUGUGGAGGAAUACCGAUGGCGAAGGCAGCCCCCUGGGAUAACACUGACGCUCAUGCACGAAAGCGUGGGGAGC
This 249-nucleotide ribosomal RNA is filed under the name uncultured bacterium. Its description in RNAcentral is "partial 16S ribosomal RNA". It matches the Rfam family "Bacterial small subunit ribosomal RNA", at positions 524 to 769 of the family's 1533-position model. The record is from RNAcentral.